This 1816-nucleotide long non-coding RNA is filed under the name Pan troglodytes (chimpanzee). Its description in RNAcentral is "long non-coding RNA NONPTRT004851". Lineage: Eukaryota; Metazoa; Chordata; Mammalia; Primates; Hominidae. The record is from RNAcentral.
GAGGGGCCGUAGAGGGGUGCUGCAACAUCAAGGAAGCCACAGUGUCACUCUUUUUCUGCCCCUUUUCUCCUACCCGAGCUUGUCCUUCUUGCUGCUUCUCAGCCCGGUUUGCCCGCUCCUGUGGGCACACAGCUUGGCCCAGAACGAAGUUCAGACUUGCAAUGUCUUUGCCUCCAGGCACCUCUUUCAGAGGCCCGUGGCAGCUGCCUCCCAUCCCAGAGAAGGGGAACGACACGCACCGAACCCCUGCGAGGCUGGGAGGGACCCACCCUCUCUCUUCCCUUGCAGUAUCUCAACAGCUGUACCCCAGCUGCUGGGACCAGCUCCCUUGGCAAAACUGGCUGGUGGGGGGGACAAAAUGAAUGGUAGCCACCCCUGGUCCUGCCCUCUUGGUCUCCCUCAGUCUGGAAAAAAGUUCAGCCCGCAGCGGGGAUGGGCAGCCUUUGCCUCUGCCCUGGGACCCAUCUUUGCUGAAGCUGCCAAGAGGACGGGGGCCUUUCCUUGCUACCCACCCCACCCCGGAGACCUACCGGCAUUCGCAGCGAACGUGCUGAGAGAACGUCAGUUCCACGUAGGAGGGCCGGGCCCCAGAACGGAUCUUUAGGAGCUGAAGGAAGAAAGAGUUGAUGCCUGGAUUGGGGAGUGGCCCAUGAGUUUCCGGCACUCUUCUCUCUCUCCUUGUCCCUUCUAGUGGGCAGAUUCGGUGGCCCCCUGGGCAGGGUGUGGACCUACCUGCAUGGUGACAUUGGCCGUCUCCACCGGCACACAGUGCAGGUUCUCAUCGCCGCAGCAGCCGGUGCAGCGCAGCAGGGAGACACAGGAUGGGCUGAACAUGUGCUCCACCUCGCUGGGGUACUCAGACACGAUGUCCACCAGCCUCUCCAGCGCCCGGCAGUAGCUGCGGCCCCACACUUCCUGGAAGGGCACCACUGCGAGGAAGCAAGGGGGCUGGGUCAGGCCAGCAGAGACCUGCCCCUUGAAGCCCUCAACCUGGCUCCCAAGGCCCUGCUGGCCUUCCAGGUUCAGCCCCCAGCCCCAUCCGAGCUCCCUCAACUCUGAACUCCUAAUGUGAUCCCUCCGAAAUGUCUGCGGGCCCCUUAGCUCAUCUGCUGGAUGGAAAUCCCCAUGGAACAGAAUCUCUCAGGGUCCCAAGCUUUGCUCUGUCCUCAACUCAGGCACCCACGUCUGCCUUGGCUCCCUGGAGCUUCGAGAAUUGUAGCCCCGGCAGCUGCCCAGGCCCUCUGGAUCUUUCUCAAGCCUGACCCGGUGCUUCCUCCAACUUGGAGAACUUGCAGAAAACAGUCAUUCCUGGAGUCAUGCAGGGAGGGUUGGCCUUCCCUUAUUCCUCUGCUCAAACACCUUCCACGGCUCCCUCAUUUCCUGCCCCACUCUGUGCCAGCUCCUCUGCCUGGCAACCAAGACCACAUCCAGCAAUGUGGCCCGACCCUCCUCUCCAUUGAGUCCAACCAGCGCUCACACUGAGCCACGGCAGCACCACAUUCACUCCCAGCUCUGGCUUGUGCACUCUGCAGCCCGUACAGCUGCUCUUCUUCCCCCUCCUCUCAUUUCUAUCCAAAUAAAGUCCACCCGCCAUUUUCCACGAGCUGCCUCCCCACCUCCUCUUUGAAGACUUCCCCAGCAAUUCCAGUGCACACAGAUGAGCCUCCCUUGAGCACUGCUUGGCCUCUGGCCUCAAGGGGUUGCCUUAUCUCCGGCACUGCUGGCUCUUAUCUCCUUUACAACCAACUCGAGGCUCCAUGAGGGCAGAGAUGGACGUACCCAUAAACACAGGCUAAGUCACUCCUGGUUGAUUAGA